RNAcentral lists this long non-coding RNA (900 nucleotides) under Homo sapiens (human). RNAcentral describes it as "long intergenic non-protein coding RNA 1676". Lineage: Eukaryota; Metazoa; Chordata; Mammalia; Primates; Hominidae. The record is from RNAcentral.
AGGAGCAGCUAACAAGAAUCCUAAUACAGGAGUGUUUAUGGUUGGGUUGAGACACAUUCAGUAGCUGAGUGAUUGACAGCAAGAGGAGCAAGACAUGAGGUUAAUAAUUAUCAAAUAUAUGGCAAUGCUGGACUUUAGCUGAUCAUCGUGCUUCUGGAAAACAACAAAAAUUGAGAUAUCUGUUCACCACUUUGUGUGUCCAAGGACCACCUACUUUUUACAUGUGACAAGAACUACCCACCUCCACUCUUCAGGAUAGAACAUGCUGAAGAAAAGAGUUGCAAUGAGAAAAUAUAUGGGAACAAAAUACCUAUGCAAUGCAGAAGUCUGCAUAACUGAACCACUCAGAGGAAAAAGUUUCCCUCCCAGGCUGGAGUACAAUGGCGCGACCUCGGCUCACUGCAACUUCCACCUCCCAGUUCAAGCAAUUCUCCCACCUCAGCUUCCUUAGUAGCUGGGAUUACAAGUGCCUGACACCAGGCCAAGCUAUUUUUGUAUUUUUAGUAGAGACGGGGUUUCACCAUUUUGACCAGGCUGGUCUCAAACUCCUGACCUCAGUCCAUCGGUCCACCUCGGCCUCCCAAAGUGCUGGGAUUGCAGGCAUGAGCCACCGCUCCUGGCCUCAAGUUUAAUUCUUAAAUUGCCAUUUCAGGACACCUCCUACAUCUGAGGAAAUAUGCAUUGAUCUUGCAGUACUUUUCUCCUCCAAAUAAAAGUCAGUAUGAUAACAACUACACUAUCAGAAGUCUAAGCCAAAGGACACUUCAGUUAUCCAAUCUUGCAACAAAUACAUUUAAGCACUUAAUAUGGGCUACUGUUGGUACUAGGGGCAUUGAGAACUUCAGAUUUGAUUAACACCCAAGAGCUGCUACCAUAAAAUAAACUAGGCAGCUACUAGGC